UCAGUGAAAAAUACCACAACAGUGAUGGCAGCAGCAGCCUGCCUGGAGUGGGCACUGUGAAGAUGCCAGCUGCAGUGGGAAAGGCACAGCUGGGGCUGUAUGCUCCACGGAGCCAGCAGGUGUCAGCUGGAGCCAGGAACAGGCCUGCCCAUGGACCAAUCAGUAUGCACUUCCUCCCCUCUGAAGCCCAUAAAAGCCCUGGACUCAGCCAGACUCCGGCAGACAUGGGGACGACCUGCCUGUGUAGGGGAGCUACCCACUGUGGAUCUCCUCUCAGCUGAGAGCUGAGUAGAUGUCCAGACGACCUGCCUGUGGAAAGCAGCUACCCACUUCAGUCUCUUGAGAGCUGUACUGUCACUCAAUAAAGCUUCUCUUCGCCGUACUCA
Long non-coding RNA from Gorilla gorilla gorilla (western lowland gorilla), 386 nucleotides. RefSeq lists it as uncharacterized. The record is from RefSeq and is a predicted model, not a curated record. NCBI's taxonomy places the organism in Eukaryota, Metazoa, Chordata, Mammalia, Primates, Hominidae. The transcript has 2 exons.